Molecule: ribosomal RNA, 456 nt
Filed under: uncultured bacterium
Lineage: Bacteria
Description: partial 16S ribosomal RNA
Rfam family: Bacterial small subunit ribosomal RNA
Source: RNAcentral
CCUACGGGGGGCAGCAGUGGGGAAUAUUGCACAAUGGGGGAAACCCUGAUGCAGCGACGCCGCGUGAGUGAAGAAGUAUUUCGGUAUGUAAAGCUCUAUCAGCAGGGAAGAAACCCACCCUCCGGGGUGGCUGACGGUACCUCAGGAGAAAGCCCCGGCUAACUACGUGCCAGCAGCCGCGGUAAUACGUAGGGGGCAAGGGUUGUCCGGAAUUAUUGGGCGUAAGGAGGACGUAGGCGGUCUGUUAAGCGCAAGGUGAAAGGCAUAGGCUCAACCAAUGUGAGCCUUGCAAACUGGCAGACUUGAGUGCAGGAGAGGAAGGCGGAAUUCCUAGUGUAGCGGUGAAAUGCGUAGAUAUUAGGAGGAACACCAGUGGCGAAGGCGGUCUGCUGGACAGCAACUGACGGUGAGGCGCGAAAGCGUGGGGAGCAAACAGGAUUAGAUACCCCAGUAGUC